This 207-nucleotide ribosomal RNA is filed under the name uncultured bacterium. RNAcentral's name for it is "partial 16S ribosomal RNA". It matches the Rfam family "Bacterial small subunit ribosomal RNA", at positions 568 to 774 of the family's 1533-position model. The record is from RNAcentral.
CGCGUAGGCGGCCUUAUAAGUCAGAUGUGAAAGUCCACGGCUUAACUGUGGAAGUGCAUUUGAAACUGUGAGGCUUGAGUAUCGGAGGGGAAAGUGGAAUUCCCGGUGUAGAGGUGAAAUUCGUAGAUAUCGGGAGGAACACCGGUGGCGAAGGCGACUUUCUGGACGAAUACUGACGCUGAGGCGCGAAAGCGUGGGGAGCAAACA